GAUGAACGCUGGCGGCGUGCCUAAUACAUGCAAGUCGAGCGAACGGACGAGAAGCUUGCUUUUGUGAUGUUAGCGGCGGACGGGUGAGUAACACGUGGAUAACCUACCUAUAAGACUGGGAUAACUUCGGGAAACCGGAGCUAAUACCGGAUAAUAUUUUGAACCGCAUGGUUCAAAAGUGAAAGACGGUCUUGCUGUCACUUAUAGAUGGAUCCGCGCUGCAUUAGCUAGUUGGUAAGGUAACGGCUUACCAAGGCAACGAUGCAUAGCCGACCUGAGAGGGUGAUCGGCCACACUGGAACUGAGACACGGUCCAGACUCCUACGGGAGGCAGCAGUAGGGAAUCUUCCGCAAUGGGCGAAAGCCUGACGGAGCAACGCCGCGUGAGUGAUGAAGGUCUUCGGAUCGUAAAACUCUGUUAUUAGGGAAGAACAUAUGUGUAAGUAACUGUGCACAUCUUGACGGUACCUAAUCAGAAAGCCACGGCUAACUACGUG
This 497-nucleotide ribosomal RNA is filed under the name uncultured bacterium. RNAcentral's name for it is "partial 16S ribosomal RNA". It matches the Rfam family "Bacterial small subunit ribosomal RNA", at positions 28 to 507 of the family's 1533-position model. The record is from RNAcentral.